RNAcentral lists this ribosomal RNA (988 nucleotides) under Candidatus Mycoplasma turicense. RNAcentral's name for it is "bacterial SSU rRNA". It matches the Rfam family "Bacterial small subunit ribosomal RNA", at positions 192 to 1224 of the family's 1533-position model. Lineage: Bacteria; Bacillati; Mycoplasmatota; Mollicutes; Mycoplasmatales; Mycoplasmataceae. The record is from RNAcentral.
AAAGGAGAUUUAAAGGUGCAAACCGCCGAGGGAUUGGAAUAUGUCCUAUUAGCUAGUUGGCGGGAUAAAAGCCCACCAAGGCAAUGAUAGGUAGCUGGUCUAAGAGGAUGAACAGCCACAAUGGGAUUGAGAUACGGCCCAUAUUCCUACGGGAAGCAGCAGUAGGGAAUCUUCCACAAUGGACGAAAGUCUGAUGGAGCAAUGCCAUGUGAACGACGAAGGCCAGACAGGUCGUAAAGUUCUUUUAGAGGGGAAAAAUCUGAUGGUACCCUCUGAAUAAGUGACAGCAAACUAUGUGCCAGCAGCUGCGGUAAUACAUAGGUCGCGAGCGUUAUUCGGAUUUAUUGGGCGUAAAGCAAGCGCAGGCGGAUGAAUAAGUUCUGCAUUAAAAGCAGCUGCUUAACAGUUGUUUGUGCCGAAUACUAUUCAUCUAGAAUGUGGUAGAAAGUUUUGGAAUUAAAUAUGGAGCGGUGGAAUGUGUAGAUAUAUUUAAGAACACCAGAGGCGAAGGCGAAAACUUAGGCCAUUAUUGACGCUUAGGCUUGAAAGUGUGGGUAGCAAAUGGGAUUAGAUACCCCAGUAGUCCACACCGUAAACGAUGGGUAUUAGAUGUCGGGACUUGAGUUUCGGCGUUGUAGCUUACGUGUUAAAUACCCCGCCUGGGUAGUACAUAUGCAAAUAUGAAACUCAAAGGAAUUGACGGGGACCUGAACAAGUGGUGGAACAUGUUGCUUAAUUCGAUAAUACACGAAAAACCUUACCAAGGUUUGACAUCCUCUGCAAAGCUAUAGAAAUAUAGUGGAGGUUAUCAGAGUGACAGGUGGUGCAUGGUUGUCGUCAGCUCGUGUCAUGAGAUGUUUGGUUAAGUCCCGCAACGAGCGCAACCCUACUCUUUAGUUACUUGUCUAAAGAGACUGAACAGUAAUGUAUAGGAAGGAUGGGAUCACGUCAAAUCAUCAUGCCCCUUAUGCCUUGGGCCGCAAACGUG